This 388-nucleotide ribosomal RNA is filed under the name uncultured bacterium. Its description in RNAcentral is "bacterial SSU rRNA". It matches the Rfam family "Bacterial small subunit ribosomal RNA", at positions 420 to 806 of the family's 1533-position model. The record is from RNAcentral.
GGGUUGUAAACUUCUUUUAUAUUAGAAUAAAGUGCAGUAUGUAUACUGUUUUGUAUGUAUAAUAUGAAUAAGGAUCGGCUAACUCCGUGCCAACAGCCGCGGUAAUACGGAGGAUCCGAGCGUUAUCCGGAUUUAUUGGGUUUAAAGGGAGCGUAGGUGGGCUGGUAAGUCAGUUGUGAAAGUUUGCGGCUCAACCGUAAAAUUGCAGUUGAUACUGUCAGUCUUGAGUACAGUAGAGGUGGGCGGAAUUCGUGGUGUAGCGGUGAAAUGCUUAGAUAUCACGAAGAACUCCGAUUGCGAAGGCAGCUCACUGGACUGCAACUGACACUGAUGCUCGAAAGUGUGGGUAUCAAACAGGAUUAGAUACCCUGGUAGUCCACACAGUAAA